CCUACGGGAGACAGCAGUGAGGAAUAUUGGUCAAUGGACGAGAGUCUGAACCAGCCAAGUAGCGUGAAGGAUGACUGCCCUAUGGGUUGUAAACUUCUUUUAUAUGGGAAUAAAAUGUUCCACGUGUGGGAUUUUGUAUGUACCAUAUGAAUAAGGAUCGGCUAACUCCGUGCCAGCAGCCGCGGUAAUACGGAGGAUCCGAGCGUUAUCCGGAUUUAUUGGGUUUAAAGGGAGCGUAGGUGGAUUGUUAAGUCAGUUGUGAAAGUUUGCGGCUCAACCGUAAAAUUGCAGUUGAAACUGGCAGUCUUGAGUACAGAAGAGGUGGGCGGAAUUCGUGGUGUAGCGGUGAAAUGCUUAGAUAUCACGAAGAACUCCGAUUGCGAAGGCAGUUCACUGGACUGCAACUGACACUGAGGCUCGAAAGUGUGGGUAUCAAACAGGAUUAGAUACCCUUGUAGUC
This 460-nucleotide ribosomal RNA is filed under the name uncultured bacterium. RNAcentral describes it as "partial 16S ribosomal RNA". It matches the Rfam family "Bacterial small subunit ribosomal RNA", at positions 338 to 795 of the family's 1533-position model. The record is from RNAcentral.